UCCCUUUGGCAGCACCGGAGCAAAGGGAUUCCUCCCUCCUGGGGAGCCCAGGCAUUGCUGACACAGCUCCAAGAAGGAAGAGAAGACAAAGGGCAGCAAAACCUGCUGGGACAGGGCCUAAGGUGGCAGCUUAUGAGGCAGAACAACCACCUGAAGAAAAACCUGACCUGGCCUCACAGAAGACAUCCGGCCAGCAUUCUGUGGAUUGGAACCUGGAAACACUGAAGAACACUUGUGAGCCAGAGGACCUCUUCGACGACAUGUAGCCACAUGUGGGCUGUGGGACAGAGACUGAUGCUUCUACUAGAGAUAAGCUGUAAAACCAAAGGCUUUUUUUGUAGAGUAGAGCCAAGAUCUGUGCUCUGAGGUGGUUUAGAGUGGCACACCCCUCUAAACCCUCUUGCACUGCACUUGUCCCCAUUCCUCACUAUGAGUUUGUAGACCCUGAUAGACCUGAUUUGUAGUGGUCUUAAAAAUGAGUUUAUCCCUUGUGUAGACCUUUUAUCAAGUGUACAUGGGAAGCGAGAGCACCACUGAAGUGGUUUUUACAUCCUCACAGUCAGUGACUGCUGACUGUAUUCAGGUUUUCCAGAUGUCCCCAGAGAAUGUCCGGCAUAAGACUUUAAGCUACUGCUGUACUUAACCUUACAUGCCACGCCUUUCUUAGCUCAGCCUAAACAUGAUCCAGAUAAAUCAUCUUCAGCUUUGUUCGAGAUGCAGAUUUAGAAUAGUCUCUUCUGAUUCAAAGCAUCCAAAGAAAUACCUUUUUAUUCAAAGGUUCUCUGCAGCAUUAAUGCCUUAUAAGGUUUUCUUGCUCUUGGAAGUAAAGUGCUUCUAAAGUAGAUAUUGAUUCUAUUUUAAGCUUCCGUAGAAAAUUAUAGCAUUUAAAAAGAUUGUCAUUUUUGAUACUUCAACAUUUUCCUUAAGGUGGUUUCUAAAAAUAAAUAAAUAAAAUACAUUCUAAAAGGACAUCAAUUUUGUUCUUAUUUGCUUAGACACUAUGAGUAAAGACAGAGUUAACAAAAUGUGUUAAUGCAUGAAGGCAUUCUUUAAAGUCUUCUAUGCUCUGUGGCUUGCAAAGGUCCGUGGUAAAACACCUACUUGGUGUUUCUGAAAUGGCCACUUAUUUAGGCUCUGAUUCUGCCAAAAUUCCAUCCUAUAAUUUCUUAAAAGCACCCAUGUCAGUAUUUGCAGCAUCAUGCACUCUUAUAGGAACACAAGGGUCUGGGAAUAUUACAUUUAAGCAUUCCUCCCUGGAAAAAUGGUCACAGCAUUUUAAAUUCACAAAGGGCUUUGGGACAGUGUUAUAAAUCACACAGUAAAAAUAAGAAUGGCUAAAAUAUUUUGCUUGCUAAAAAGGCUUUGUGCCUGAGAAGUAGCAAGGCCACAAAAGCCCUAUUCAUACACCCAUUCAAAGUCUUCCAGUGCUAAUCUGACAGUGCUUUCAGCAAAAGCUCGUGUAUGGUUCUAGUUUUGGAGUGAAUAUGUUCCAUGACUUAACCCAAAGUGGAAGAGCUUGGUUUAAUUGUGCCUGCAGCAGAAAAUGAAGGUAAAUGAAGCUGAACAUCUGAGAAAACUCUGCUUUCAGGACGCUGUUGGUUUCUAGUGGCAAAAUGUUGUUGUACAAAUAGGAAAUGUUACACGCCAUGGGCAGAUGUAAUAAAGUCUGUCAGAGUGUUUA
Molecule: long non-coding RNA, 1681 nt
Organism: Chiroxiphia lanceolata (lance-tailed manakin)
Lineage: Eukaryota; Metazoa; Chordata; Aves; Passeriformes; Pipridae
Exons: 2
Source: RefSeq, a predicted model, not a curated record